Molecule: ribosomal RNA, 967 nt
Filed under: Phaeocystis globosa
Lineage: Eukaryota; Haptophyta; Phaeocystales; Phaeocystaceae
Description: SSU rRNA
Rfam family: Eukaryotic small subunit ribosomal RNA
Source: RNAcentral
UUUCGAUGGUAGGAUAGAGGCCUACCAUGGCGUUAACGGGUAACGGAGAAUUAGGGUUCGAUUCCGGAGAGGGAGCCUGAGAAAUGGCUACCACAUCCAAGGAAGGCAGCAGGCGCGUAAAUUGCCCGAAUCCUGACACAGGGAGGUAGUGACAAGAAAUAACAAUACAGGGCUACUUCUAGUCUUGUAAUUGGAAUGAGUACAACUKACAUCUCUUCACGAGGAUCAACUGGAGGGCAAGUCUGGUGCCAGCAGCCGCGGUAAUUCCAGCUCCAGAAGCGUAUAUUAAAGUUGUUGCAGUUAAAACGCUCGUAGUCGGGUUUCGGGUCGGGCCGAGCGGUCUGCCGAUGGGUAUGCACUGUUUGGCGCGGCCUUCUUUCCGGAGACCGCGGCUACUCUUAACUGAGCGGGCGUGGGAGACGGAUCGUUUACUUUGAAAAAAUCAGAGUGUUUCAAGCAGGCAGCUCGCUCUUGCAUGGUACAGCAUGGGAUGAUUGAAUAGGACUCCGGUGCUAUUUUGUUGGUUUCGAACACCAGGAGUAAUGAUUAACAGGGACAGUCAGGGGCACUCGUAUUCCGUCGAGAGAGGUGAAAUUCUCAGACCAAUGGAAGACGAACCACUGCGAAAGCAUUUGCCAGGGAUGUUUUCACUGAUCAAGAACGAAAGUUAGGGGAUCGAAGACGAUCAGAUACCGUCGUAGUCUUAACCAUAAACCAUGCCGACUAGGGAUUGGAGGGUGUUCGUUUCGACCUCUUCAGCACCUUACGGGAAACUAAAGUCUUUGGGUUCCGGGGGGAGUAUGGUCGCAAGGCUGAAACUUAAAGGAAUUGACGGAAGGGCACCACCAGGAGUGGAGCCUGCGGCUUAAUUUGACUCAACACGGGGAAACUUACCAGGUCCAGACAUUGUUAGGAUUGACAGAUUGAGAGCUCUUUCUUGAUUCGAUGGGUGGUGGUGCAUGGCCGU